Molecule: ribosomal RNA, 1224 nt
Filed under: Triticum aestivum (bread wheat)
Lineage: Eukaryota; Viridiplantae; Streptophyta; Magnoliopsida; Poales; Poaceae
Description: partial small subunit ribosomal RNA
Source: RNAcentral
AUGUCGCUCAAAGGCUACCACGAAGCCUCACUGCAUCCGCCGGCUGCGUAUGAUGCGGCGGCGGCGGCGACUGUGUGGGACUGGGGGGAAGCCCUCCUCGACAAGUUCGCCUACAUGGUCCACAAGAAAGACCACCAAAAAAACCAUACUUCCGCCCGCUGUACAUUCAAGAGGAAUUUGCACGACGACAGGGUGGUGGAGGUGGAGAUGCAGGUCAGCCUGUUCUUGGCGCCGCCGCCUCGCGUCUCCUACUUCUGCUGCUCCGCCAACCUCACCGAAGACGACCACGGGGAACAACAAGGCACCCGCCGCCUGUUCGUCUGCGAGCCUUGGGUGAUCGCCACGGAGGGUAACCUUGCCCUCCUCGCCCUCUGCCACGGCUACAACCCUGCCUACUACGGCGAAAGCAAUAACUACGACUACUUCCUCUACGAGGCAGCAGCCUCACCGGCGGGGACGCCGAAACUCACCUGCCUCCCUCAAAUCCAACCCGAGAUGUUGCCAGCUAUGGGAACUCACUGCUUCUCUACCGGCAGUAUUGCUGUCGUGCGUUACAGCAGCAACAUCCCCACCGCCGCCCACAAAAUCCCCUUGACGCCCCCCACCCCCAUCCUCAGCCCCGUCGUCGCCCUUCCCCGCCCCCAAAGUAUCCCNNNNNNNNNNNNNNNNNNNNNNNUCAACCCCUCCGUCACCGCAUAUUCUCAAGCCCGCCCCAAGGAUGAUGCCUGUGAUGCCUACAGGAUCGCGGCGCUCGCCUACGACUACUUCCACCCCAGCCAUUCCGGAUACUACCUCUGCACCUACGACUCCAAGGACCCUCGGUGGAGACGCACGCCCGCUGCCUCUCCAGAGUCACCACCGCCUGAUGACUUUGUGCCCGGCAAGGUCAUCACCAUCGACAGCUCCAUGUCCAGCUCCGGCUCCCCCCGUGGCAUCAUGGGCUGGGUCGACCUCUGGAGUGGCAUGCUACUCUCCGACGUGCUCACUGCCUCCGACACCCUCUGCACCCCGCUCCGCUAUCUCCCCCUUCCAGAGCCGAGGCAGCCGGAAAAUUGCCUCCCUCUUGCCACAGACAUUGCAUACUUCUUUCGGGACAUCGCCCUAGCCAAUGACUCCGGCAUCAUCAGGUUUGUUGACCUUCAGGUCCACGCAGAACCCAGCCCGCGCUCGCAAACGCCUAGCGGCUGGACGGUGGUCACGUGGACCUUGGAGGGGCGGGCUUAG